Molecule: long non-coding RNA, 403 nt
Organism: Anopheles darlingi
Lineage: Eukaryota; Metazoa; Arthropoda; Insecta; Diptera; Culicidae
Exons: 3
Source: RefSeq, a predicted model, not a curated record
UUUGGGUGUAUGAAAAAGUGUUGUGUUAUGCUUAUUUAUUGUUGUGCUACGAAAAGACAUUGAAUGACCGGUGCAAGAGACGACGACUAACAAAAGUUCGACUGAAGGAUCGAACAACAUCGCGGAAUCUUACUAGGAACAUUGAAUGACGUACUAGCUAUGAUUAAGUAUCCGAUACACAAUUAAAAGAAAGCUAAGAACUUGAGGACCAUAACGAGACGAUACUUGCUUUCCGACCGAUCGCAAUAGUCGACGGACCGAGCGCACUACCUGGAUUAGAAUGGAUAAAUAGCAAUCGGAUCAUUUUCAGCGUCAAGGAAUAUCGUUUAAGGACCUAUUGUAUAUUCACUCUCGGUUUUUGUGACGUUCUGCUUCAACCUUACUCAAUUUUGAUACAAAACUC